AGUUUCGGGUUCUUGAUAACAGU
RNAcentral lists this non-coding RNA (23 nucleotides) under Rattus norvegicus (Norway rat). The record is from RNAcentral. Lineage: Eukaryota; Metazoa; Chordata; Mammalia; Rodentia; Muridae.